Molecule: ribosomal RNA, 524 nt
Filed under: uncultured bacterium
Lineage: Bacteria
Description: partial 16S ribosomal RNA
Rfam family: Bacterial small subunit ribosomal RNA
Source: RNAcentral
GACGAACGCUGGCGGCGUGCCUAAUACAUGCAAGUCGAGCGCAGGAAACUGACGGAACUCUUCGGAGGGAAGGCAGUGGAAUGAGCGGCGGACGGGUGAGUAACACGUAAGGAACCUGCCUCAAGGAUUGGGAUAACUCCGAGAAAUCGGAGCUAAUACCGGAUAGUUCAACGGACCGCAUGGUCCGCUGAUGAAAGGCGCUUCGGCGUCACCUUGAGAUGGCCUUGCGGUGCAUUAGCUAGUUGGUGGGGUAACGGCCCACCAAGGCGACGAUGCAUAGCCGACCUGAGAGGGUGAUCGGCCACACUGGGACUGAGACACGGCCCAGGCUCCUACGGGAAGCAGCAGUAGGGAAUCUUCCACAAUGGACGAAAGUCUGAUGGAGCAACGCCGCGUGAGUGAUGAAGGUUUUCGGAUCGUAAAACUCUGUUGUAAGGGAAGAACACGUACGAGAGGAAAUGCUCGUACCUUGACGGUACCUUACGAGAAAGCCACGGCUAACUACGUGCCAGCCGCCGCCGUAA